Molecule: long non-coding RNA, 449 nt
Organism: Spodoptera frugiperda (fall armyworm)
Lineage: Eukaryota; Metazoa; Arthropoda; Insecta; Lepidoptera; Noctuidae
Exons: 3
Source: RefSeq, a predicted model, not a curated record
UUCAGGAGGCGCCAGUUUCGGCAUGGGAGGCGGCGCUGGCGCAGGUGCAGGUGGUGCUGGAGGUGGUGGUGAAAUGGGAUUCGGGUUUAACGGCAACGCAGGCGCUGGCGGCGGCGCUGGCGGUGGCAAGUAAAACUACCAGAUGGAGAACAAAUUCACACUAACGACUUGCGACACAAAUACGAGAUAUACCUGAAAUGUACUUAGAUUUUACUAAUAUGAGUGUAAUAUAGAUAUUUACUAAUAAAACAUGUUGGUAUCAAACAUUUUUUUAACCUUUUGAACGCCAGAGCGUAAACACAUCGGCGCCCCUUCUACGCCAAGCCACAAAUUCAGUACAAAAACCUACAAAAAAAAUAGUGAUUCCAACAUCUUAACGAAAAGUUAUCGAUAACCAAUGAAUCCGUGCUUUUCGUUCUAUAUUUUUUAAAUAAAUAUUAUUCGUUGCA